GACGAACCGUGCGAACGUUGUUCGGAUUCACUGGGCUUAAAGGGCGCGUAGGCGGACAAUCAAGUCAGGGGUGAAAGCCUCCAGCUCAACUGGAGAAGUGCCUUUGAUACUGACUGUCUCGAGGGAGGUAGGGGCAUGUGGAACUUCCGGUGGAGCGGUGAAAUGCGUAGAUAUCGGAAGGAACGCCGGUGGCGAAAGCGACGUGCUGGACCUCUUCUGACGCUGAGGCGCGAAAGCGUGGGGAGCGAACAGG
This 253-nucleotide ribosomal RNA is filed under the name uncultured bacterium. Its description in RNAcentral is "partial 16S ribosomal RNA". It matches the Rfam family "Bacterial small subunit ribosomal RNA", at positions 524 to 776 of the family's 1533-position model. The record is from RNAcentral.